RNAcentral lists this non-coding RNA (96 nucleotides) under chicken gut metagenome. The record is from RNAcentral.
CGCUAGGGGAGCUUUGGCUGAGAUUGAAAGAAGGAAUGGUUUCUUUUUCUGACCCUCAAUACUUGAACCGGUUAAUGCCGGCGUAAGGAAGCAAGA